This 253-nucleotide ribosomal RNA is filed under the name uncultured bacterium. RNAcentral's name for it is "partial 16S ribosomal RNA". It matches the Rfam family "Bacterial small subunit ribosomal RNA", at positions 524 to 776 of the family's 1533-position model. The record is from RNAcentral.
UACGUAGGUGGCAAGCGUUAUCCGGAUUUAUUGGGUGUAAAGGGCGUGUAGGCGGGAGCGCAAGUCAGAUGUGAAAACUCAGGGCUCAACCCUGAGCCUGCAUUUGAAACUGUGUUUCUUGAGUGCUGGAGAGGCAAUCGGAAUUCCGUGUGUAGCGGUGAAAUGCGUAGAUAUCACGCAGAACCCCGAUUGCGAAGGCAGCAUACCGGUGCACAACUGACGCUCAGGCACGAAAGCGUGGGUAUCGAACAGG